CGAACGGGUGAGUAACGCGUGAGGAACCUGCCUCAAAGAGGGGGACAACAGUUGGAAACGACUGCUAAUACCGCAUAAGCCCACGGCUCGGCAUCGAGCAGAGGGAAAAGGUGCAAUCCGCUUUGAGAUGGCCUCGCGUCCGAUUAGCUAGUUGGUGAGGUAACGGCCCACCAAGGCGACGAUCGGUAGCCGGACUGAGAGGUUGAACGGCCACAUUGGGACUGAGACACGGCCCAG
This 237-nucleotide ribosomal RNA is filed under the name uncultured bacterium. RNAcentral's name for it is "partial 16S ribosomal RNA". It matches the Rfam family "Bacterial small subunit ribosomal RNA", at positions 99 to 334 of the family's 1533-position model. The record is from RNAcentral.